CUGGGGUUUUACACAUUCAUUCUUUAGUGUGUCCUGCUGUGUGUCUCUAACAAGCAGAGUCCUGGAGUCCAAUGUGAUGAAAUGUUUGUGAGCAUCAUCGCUACAUGUCACACAGCAGCACAGUCCAGAUGGAGAGCAGCCUCACAACCCGUCACCCUCCGGAUCAAUGCUUGUUCUUUCUCCAACCAGUCAACACUAAACUUCUUCUUCUUGCUUUUUACCUUCUAAAAGUUCAAAUUAACUUUGCGUCCGUCUCGUGCAGUGUUGCCAACUCCUCAGUAAGGACAGCAGCCAUUGGCUGUCCUGGAAGUCGCUUAGUGACGUCAUCAUUGUAAUGGACGCUGUAGGAGGAAUAACGUCGUGAGAAACGUUACUAUACUAAACGCAACACUCUGGCGGAACUCCCGGAAGUAGUUUCAAAAUAAAAGCCGUGCUCCUGUAAACAAGGUGUCCGGUGCUGACAGUGACUCCGGGUUGAUAGCAGACAUGCGCAGAGUGUGUUGACAUCUGAGCAGGAAGAAGUUUCUGCUUCAGUCACGCCUCACGACUUCAUCAGCACUUCCUGUCCAAGCUGAAGAUCUGCCCGUCCACCAAGCAGAUCCUCAGGAAACACCUUCGUGGCUCUGUGCUACAGACUGGAGGAGAUGAAUGAUUUAAAAGAUGAGGAGGAGGACGGCUCAGUGUCUCCAGUCCCCAGCUGUCUGUCUGUGAAGACUGACUUCUCUAAAGAAGAACCUCCAAACUUCAGUAAUGAACCUGGACCCUCAGACACAAAAUGGAGGGCGGUGUCUCCAGUCCCCAGCUGUCUGUCUGUGAAGACUGACUUCUCUAAAGAAGAACCUCCAAACUUCAGUAAUGAACCUGGACCCUCAGACA
Long non-coding RNA from Cottoperca gobio, 876 nucleotides. RefSeq lists it as uncharacterized. The record is from RefSeq and is a predicted model, not a curated record. The transcript has 3 exons. Lineage: Eukaryota; Metazoa; Chordata; Actinopteri; Perciformes; Bovichtidae.